Molecule: long non-coding RNA, 515 nt
Organism: Aethina tumida (small hive beetle)
Lineage: Eukaryota; Metazoa; Arthropoda; Insecta; Coleoptera; Nitidulidae
Exons: 3
Source: RefSeq, a predicted model, not a curated record
UAAAUAAACUAUAUGUAGUUUGAGGAGAAAAGACAAGCCAAGUGAAAAUCUCAAUAAAACCCAAAAGUCUACCGGCGCUUCAAGAGGCCUUAAGAUUAAAAUAUCGGAACUAGAGGGUGAACUACAACGAAUGAAAAAUAAAUUCAAUAAAUUAAGAUUGAAAUCUGAAAGUACGAUGUAAAAGGCAAAUGCUGGAAAGAUUCUAGUGGUCCAAGAAUUGGAUUUAAAUUAUUUCGACGAUUCGUUGGGCACGAGGAGUUACGUUCACAUGGAAAGGCUGAUUACCAUCAUAUAAAUGAAGAUGAAAUGAGCCACGACACAACCUGACGACAUCGGCAAAUAUUUUCUCUGAGGCUAUGAAAUAUGAAAAAAAAUCCAAGAAAUCCGAAAAAAGUACAAGAUAAAAUCACAAUAAAGAAGAAAACAUCAUUACCAAGAAACCGUAUUCAAAAGUUCUACCAAAAAGGCUGAGGACUGGAAUGUUCCCGUUUGAGUUCCACAUUUCUAUCUCUGUA